CCUACGGGGGGCAGCAGUGGGGAAUAUUGCACAAUGGGGGGAACCCUGAUGCAGCGACGCCGCGUGAGUGAAGAAGUAUUUCGGUACGUAAAGCUCUAUCAGCAGGAAAGAAAAUGACGGUACCUGACUAAGAAGCCCCGGCUAACUACGUGCCAGCAGCCGCGGUAAUACGUAGGGGGCAAGCGUUAUCCGGAUUUACUGGGUGUAAAGGGAGCGUAGACGGCAGUGCAAGUCCGGAGUGAAAGCCCACAGCUUAACCGUGGGACUGCUCUGGAAACUGUAGAGCUAGAGUGCGGGAGGGGCAGGCGGAAUUCCUAGUGUAGCGGUGAAAUGCGUAGAUAUUAGGAGGAACACCGGCGGCGAAGGCGGCCUGCUGGACCGUAACUGACGUUGAGGCUCGAAAGCGUGGGGAGCAAACAGGAUUAGAUACCCGUGUA
This 437-nucleotide ribosomal RNA is filed under the name uncultured bacterium. Its description in RNAcentral is "bacterial SSU rRNA". It matches the Rfam family "Bacterial small subunit ribosomal RNA", at positions 338 to 792 of the family's 1533-position model. The record is from RNAcentral.